AUGCAUGUGCUUUCCUUGUCACAAGUCAACAUUGUUCCUAAAGACUCGUCAGCAUUGCAGGAUUCAGCUGUCUGCAGUCUUAUCAGCCUGCGGAAGCUUUGCAAGAUGAUUGAGGGGAGGAGGCAUUCGGUUGAUAUCCCGAUUUCGAGGGCUCUGGUCGCUGUCAUGAGGUCCAGAUCUCUGAGGGACCCAGACACCAACUCGCUGGCCAAGUUCUCGGCCAAGAAGACCAUCUGGGAGGGGUGUUCCCUCGAGGAAGAUGACGUGGAGGCAAGCAAUUACGGCAGGCACAGCUUCAGCUACAACAUGUAUGAUCAUGUCCAGAGGAGGAGGGAGGAGUUUGGCGGCCGCCUCGCCAACUCUCCGAUCAACAUAAUCAAGGCCAACGCGCGGGUGAAGGCGGCGCUUCAUAACCAGAACUGCUGCUCUGCGAUCCCCGGGAUGUCGAGAGCUGCCAAGGACAGGGCUUUCUCUCUGGUGAUUGAAGGGGAAGAGCUCGGCCGGAGUGAGCCCCAGGAAGGCGCAAGAAGCUUGCUCCAGAAGUACCGGCCAAAGUCUUUCUCUGAGCUGGCUGGACAGAAUGUUGUUGCACAGUCUCUUUCAAACGCUGUUUCUCAAGGAAAGCUUGCUCCAAUCUAUCUCCUCCACGGCCCGCACGGCAUUGGCAAGACAUCCGCGGCUAGGGUAUUUGCAGCGGCGCUGAAUUGCCUCUCUCCAGGUGGGAACCAACCUUGUGGGCACUGCGAGGAAUGCGUGGCCAUAUUCUCAGGAAACAGCAACAGUGUGGUAGAGGUUGAUGCUUCCAAACUGGAUUGCAAAUCUAGAGUUGCUGUCUUGCUCAGGAAUGCCUGUGAAAUUCCUGCUUCUUCGCACUUCAAGGUACUUAUUGUAGAUGAUUGCCAACAUAUGGAUAAGGAGGGAUGGUACUCCAUCUACAGUAGCCUUGAAGGGAUCCCUGCAAGCUCAAUAUUUGUCAUGAUAACAUCCGACAUCGAUAAACUACCAAGCAACUCCGCUGGAUGGUGCCAGAGCUAUAGGUUUUGCAAGAUAGAUGAUGCAGAUAUUGUCCGCCGGUUGAGCAAGAUUUGCACAAAAGAAGGUAUGGAGUUCGAAGCCGAAGCGCUGGAGCUUCUUGCUCGCAAGGCAAGUGGUUCCAUUCGGGAUGCAGUUCAAAUGCUUGACCAAUUAACUCUGCUCGGAAAAAGGAUCAGCAAAUCAGUAACAUACGACCUAAUAGGUGAUGUCUCAGAUGAAGAGUUGCUUGAUCUUCUUAAUCUGUCUAUGUCAUCAGAUGCUGCUACCAUUGUUCGGAGGGCUAGGGAGCUUUUGAGUUCAAAGGUCGAUCCCAUGCAGCUAUUGGCUCAGCUUGCAAAUCUUAUCAUGGAUAUUUUAGCUGCGAAGCAACCCUCAGAUUCUUCAGAAGUUAGGAAAGUUACUGGCAAAAAUACAUCUGCUGAUGUGGACGUGCACAAACUUAGGAAUGCGCUGGAAAUACUUUCUGAAACCGAAAAGCAAUUGAAAACCACGAAGAACCAGUCCACUUGGCUCACCGCCGCUCUGUUACAGUUCAAUAUGAGAGAGCCUUACUGCCUAGAAGCCCUAGAUGAUACUGCAGUUUCAAGCAUGUUCACAGAGAGUCAAACAGACGACGGGGCUGCUGCCCUGAAAGAUGAAAGCUUAGAGACCAGUUCUCAUCUGUGCUACCAGAACAAACUUGGAUGUCUGGAUAUGAAUUUAGGAGAUCCAGAUGUACUGGAGACGAUAUGGAUGAAGGCUCUUGAAAACUGCACAUCUAAGUCACUUCAUAAUCUGUUGCAGAAAGAUGGAAAGUUGUCAUCCCUGUACACAACCCAAGGUGUGGCAGUUGCCGAGUUACAAUUCUGUCAUCCUGAGGAGGUACCAACAUCAGAGAGCUUCUGGAUGCCACUUGUGGUUUCUCUGCAGAAUUUGCUCAAGUGCAACGUGGACAUCAGGAUCAAUCUUUCUCCAAUCUCCAUCAGCAAUAGGACUGUUUCCAAGAAUUCGUCGGUCAGCCUGGUCAUGCAAUCCAGAGAAGAUCAACAGACGCAGAAUCCAGUCGCCACGGACUGCAGAACCGUAGCUUCAUCCAGAAGGGAGUGCCCUUCGCCACCGCUCCCAGGACAACAGCCCAAGGAGAAAGCAUCUCACAUCCUGGGAUGCCUUCACGGUGCAGAUAGCGAUGCAGGAGAUGCGGAGUCGAGGAUCCUGAGCUACCAGAAGAUCUCUGUCAUUCCUGAAGCAUCCACUACAGGGAAUGUCGCCUCAAGAGCUGGAGAGCGCAUGCCAAAGGUCGACGAAGUCAAAGGUCGUCGCCGCGGUGUCUGUUUCUCUGAGAUUCUACCGUGUGGUGCGUGCGCACCCUCUCGGAAGUCCCAACCGCACGACAAGCACAGAGCUCCGCGGCCUCGCAAGGGACUCUUCAGCUGCUGUUUCUGCAAGAUCAGGCCAGACUGCAGAACGAGAGCUGACGCUGUGUACAGGUCCGAAACCUAG
RNAcentral lists this ribosomal RNA (2514 nucleotides) under Triticum aestivum (bread wheat). RNAcentral describes it as "partial small subunit ribosomal RNA". Lineage: Eukaryota; Viridiplantae; Streptophyta; Magnoliopsida; Poales; Poaceae. The record is from RNAcentral.